GCGGGAGUAGCUCAGUUGGUAGAGCGCCACCUUGCCAAGGUGGAUGUCGCGGGUUCAAGUCCCGUCUCCCGCUCCA
This 76-nucleotide transfer RNA is filed under the name Thermodesulfatator atlanticus. RNAcentral's name for it is "tRNA-Gly". It matches the Rfam family "tRNA". From Rfam's summary of the family: Transfer RNA (tRNA) molecules are approximately 80 nucleotides in length. Their secondary structure includes four short double-helical elements and three loops (D, anti-codon, and T loops). RNAcentral also lists the same sequence under 3 other names. The record is from RNAcentral. Lineage: Bacteria; Pseudomonadati; Thermodesulfobacteriota; Thermodesulfobacteria; Thermodesulfobacteriales; Thermodesulfatatoraceae.